AAGUAAUGUGAAUUGCAGAAUUCAGUGAAUCAUCGAAUCUUUGAACGCACAUUGCGCCCCAAACUUUCAACAACGGAUCUCUUGGUUCUGGCAUCGAUGAAGAACGCAGCGAAAUGCGAUUUGGUAUUCCGAGGGGCAUGCCUGUUCGAGCGUCAUUU
This 158-nucleotide ribosomal RNA is filed under the name Neofusicoccum parvum. Its description in RNAcentral is "5.8S ribosomal RNA". The stretch from base 62 to 155 matches the Rfam family "5.8S ribosomal RNA". Rfam says of the family: 5.8S ribosomal RNA (5.8S rRNA) is a component of the large subunit of the eukaryotic ribosome. Lineage: Eukaryota; Fungi; Ascomycota; Dothideomycetes; Botryosphaeriales; Botryosphaeriaceae. The record is from RNAcentral.